GACGGGGUGGCCGAGAGUUUAAGGCGAUGGACUACUAAUCCAUUGUGCUCUGCCCGCGUGGGUUUGAAUCCCAUCCUCGUCG
Molecule: non-coding RNA, 82 nt
Organism: Hemibagrus wyckioides
Lineage: Eukaryota; Metazoa; Chordata; Actinopteri; Siluriformes; Bagridae
Source: the annotation of a RefSeq genome assembly